AGAGUUUGAUCAUGGCUCAGAUUGAACGCUGGCGGCAGGCCUAACACAUGCAAGUCGAACGGUAACAGGAAA
This 72-nucleotide ribosomal RNA is filed under the name Escherichia coli EC1865. Its description in RNAcentral is "partial 16S ribosomal RNA". Lineage: Bacteria; Pseudomonadati; Pseudomonadota; Gammaproteobacteria; Enterobacterales; Enterobacteriaceae. The record is from RNAcentral.